This 497-nucleotide ribosomal RNA is filed under the name uncultured bacterium. Its description in RNAcentral is "partial 16S ribosomal RNA". It matches the Rfam family "Bacterial small subunit ribosomal RNA", at positions 28 to 507 of the family's 1533-position model. The record is from RNAcentral.
GAUGAACGCUGGCGGCGUGCCUAAUACAUGCAAGCCGAGCGAACAGACGAGGAGCUUGCUCCUCUGACGUUAGCGGCGGACGGGUGAGUAACACGUGGAUAACCUACCUAUAAGACUGGGAUAACUUCGGGAAACCGGAGCUAAUACCGGAUAAUAUAUUGAACCGCAUGGUUCAAUAGUGAAAGACGGUUUUGCUGUCACUUAUAGAUGGAUCCGCGCCGCAUUAGCUAGUUGGUAAGGUAACGGCUUACCAAGGCAACGAUGCGUAGCCGACCUGAGAGGGUGAUCGGCCACACUGGAACUGAGACACGGUCCAGACUCCUACGGGAGGCAGCAGUAGGGAAUCUUCCGCAAUGGGUGAAAGCCUGACGGAGCAACGCCGCGUGAGUGAUGAAGGUCUUCGGAUCGUAAAACUCUGUUAUUAGGGAAGAACAAAUGUGUAAGUAACUAUGCACGUCUUGACGGUACCUAAUCAGAAAGCCACGGCUAACUACGUG